Molecule: long non-coding RNA, 688 nt
Organism: Schistocerca piceifrons (Central American locust)
Lineage: Eukaryota; Metazoa; Arthropoda; Insecta; Orthoptera; Acrididae
Exons: 3
Source: RefSeq, a predicted model, not a curated record
CCAUUUUUUGAAACGUCUACAUGUCAGUAUAUUUACAUUUGGUGUAUAGUAUUGGCGUCAGAAAAUCAGUUUUCCGGUUGUAAUUUGUUUUAAAAGUCUUGUUGACGGAUCGCGAAUCAUGUCCAGUGUACAAUUGCGCUAACAGAAGUGAUAAAACAACUGGAAUAUCAUAUUUCAGAUUUCCUCUGAAAAAGAAAGAGCUGUUAAAUCGAUGGGUAGCCAAUAUGAGGCGAGAUAAGUGGCAGCCAACUCAAUGUAGCUACGUAUGCUCGUUUCACUUUGAAGAUAGAUACAUGUAUAGUACAAACGAGAAAAGGCGACUUCUGGCAAACGCAGUACCGAUAAUAUUUACGUUUCCUGACCAUUUGCAGAAAACAACUAUAGUAUAGAGACAACCAAGCAAACGGCCUGUCAGUGAAGAAUCAGCUUCCUUAUCAAAUGAACCAGGUGAAAGAGUGAAUCAGAAUGAUCAUACAGAUCAUUCUUAUUGUUUGCCUAGCCCCAAAAAAUUGAAACAGAAUUAUGAGGCACUACAGAAAAGGACCGAGAAGCUUACGAAACAAGCGAAACAUGCAAGGCAAAGUGUUUCAAGAAAGAAGAAACAAAUUGUGACAUAGGUUGUAGGCCUAUUAAGAGACUUCAAGACUGUGCUUCUGAAGUGAUAGGGUGUGACAAAAAUAGUGAUAUU